GAUCUGCUCACUUUGUCAGCUAAGGUGGCAGCCUUCAAGCACACCUUCUCCACUUCAAGUCUCAGUGUAGAGCACAGUGUCUGAUCAUUUAUCACAGAAUCCCAUGGCAGGCUUGUUAACACAAAUGUAUGACUUGAGUCCAAGCUUCCUCUUUGAGUUCCUGUCCUAGGGUGAUUCUUGUAUUCCCAAUGGUCUGUUCUGUUUAUGCUGGAUAUUGUAUCCUGUGCCUUCAAGACGGCUCUGAAAAGUGAAUGUUUUGUUUUAUUAUCAGCCUGCUCACUCCCCCACAGUCGGCAGGACACAGCACAAACCAUUUGAACCUGCUCUGGGCUGGGACCUGGGAAACACGGAAUUUGCACCUUGUGGCCUGCAGCAGCUAUCCCCAGCACCAGAGGGACCGACAGCAAAGCGACCACUCCCAGGAGAGACUUUCUGAAUUUGUCAUCUUUUUCAGAGCGGUGAAAGAGUACAGUCAUCCGGGUGUUUCUUCAUGACAGCAAUGUGAUUUGCAUGGGAUGAGCCUUCAGGUGUGAGAUAGGCCCAGAUAAUUUAAAAGGGAGCAGUGCAAAACCCCAGGCAAAUGUACAUCAUGCUAUAGACCAGUGUACGACUAGAGGAGUCAGAUACCCGAAUUUCAUCACUUCUAAAAGCCCAUGACUGGUUUCAGGGUGGCAUUGUGCAGAUACAGAAUUGAUGCAUGUCCUUGAAGAAUGCCAGUCUGAAUAUAAUCAACCAGAGAGAGG
Passer domesticus (house sparrow) is the source of this 743-nucleotide long non-coding RNA. RefSeq lists it as uncharacterized. The record is from RefSeq and is a predicted model, not a curated record. The transcript is spliced from 4 exons. Lineage: Eukaryota; Metazoa; Chordata; Aves; Passeriformes; Passeridae.